Long non-coding RNA from Sinocyclocheilus rhinocerous, 511 nucleotides. RefSeq lists it as uncharacterized. NCBI's taxonomy places the organism in Eukaryota, Metazoa, Chordata, Actinopteri, Cypriniformes, Cyprinidae. The transcript is spliced from 4 exons. The record is from RefSeq and is a predicted model, not a curated record.
GGCCUCUGUGAUGCACUCCUCUGGUUUGAGGUUUCCUGACAUGACUCUGACGGCUCUGCUUGCCUUGGAUGGCAGAAAGGACAUAAGUUGUUAAGGAUCUUGAGGUUUGAGAGUGUUUGCCAAAGUCAAUUCUGGCCUGAGCAGCAGCUGUAUGAAGUUUCUUAAACUGGCACGUUGCACCAGUCCAGCUUAGCAUGGCAGUCAGCAUCACACAGUGCCUCCAAGUAUAGCACCCUGAAAACUGGACCCCUUCUUUUGUAACAGUAUCCAGAUGAAUACUGGUCAUCAUGACCUACCAGUUGAAGCACCAGCACCCUAAAGGUCCAGUAUGUAUGAUAUGGAACCAUAUGCACCAUCAUAAGUGGCCUCAUCUGCCCAUGCUGCUCAAGAUGUCCUGGGACAACGGUACUCUAAAGAACGUGUGGCUGUCUGUCAUCAGGGGGCGUCGCUUGGCUCUAUCUGGGUCUUUCAGGCCUAUCACAUCUCUUCCUUUUAAUAACCCUCCACACAC